AUUCUUAGAGCACCGUAAAGGAAGUUAACAGCCAUGUCAUUCACUCUGUCUCAAAAAUUUUUUUCUCGUGGAUCAGAGUUUGAAAAAUGUUUUUUUUUUUUUUUUAAACUUUUUUUGCAAAAAAAUCCCUAAAAAGAUUUGUUCCUUCCUACGGAGAGCUUGCCAAAAUUCUUUAGCCACCAGAUAAAAUUGUUCCGCCGAAAUUGUGCUGAAUCAUCUCUUUGUCCUCGUCAUUCUAAAGUAGAAUCUGUUGAACAUGUGCUUCUGUUUUGUGAUCAUGCUUGGCUCUCCGGGUUUAGUUCAAAUUUGGAUAUCACUUCUGGUGAGGUUGGUUUUGUUUCUCAAACAGAUUGCUAGAACAAUCUCUUCCAAAGUUCAUCUCAGAGAGAUCAGUCAGUAGUGAUGAUGGUUGGCCUGCUUUGCUGGUAGAUAUGGAAAUCUCGAAAUAUUGUUGUGUGUGAGCUCACUCAGGUGAACCCCUCUCCUCUGUCACCAUCUCCAAAGCUAUGAAAGAUUUUUCUGAAUCGGCCAUCGUAGUCGGGAUCCCAGUCGAGUUCUACCUGUUUUCAAAAUCCUGCUCAGCUUUUUUGGUCUUCGUGGACCCCUCCGAGUUCUGGUUUUAUUAAAGCAAAUUCUUGAAUCUUCUAAGGCAGGCUUUGGUGUUAUUUUGCAGG
Molecule: long non-coding RNA, 674 nt
Filed under: Manihot esculenta (cassava)
Lineage: Eukaryota; Viridiplantae; Streptophyta; Magnoliopsida; Malpighiales; Euphorbiaceae
Description: long non-coding RNA (MESC_LNC005915)
Source: RNAcentral